GACGAACGCUGGCGGCGUGCCUAAUACAUGCAAGUCGAACGAAGCUGUUUUAACUGGUGCUUGCACCGACUUAAACAACUGAGUGGCGAACGGGUGAGUAACACGUGGGUAACCUGCCCCAAAGCGGGGGAUAACAUUUGGAAACAGAUGCUAAUACCGCAUAACCACAGAAACCACAUGGUUUCUGUGUCAAAGAUGGUUUCGGCUAUCACUUUGGGAUGGACCCGCGGCGUAUUAGCUAGUUGGUAAGGUAAUGGCUUACCAAGGCAAUGAUACGUAGCCGAACUGAGAGGUUGAUCGGCCACAUUGGGACUGAGACACGGCCCAAACCCCUACGGGAGGCAGCAGUAGGGGAUCUUCCACAAUGGGCGCAAGCCUGAUGGAGCAACACCGCGUGAGUGAAGAAGGUUUUCGGCUCGUAAAACUCUGUUGUUAAAGAAGAACGUAUCUAAGAGUAACUGCUUAGGUAGUGACGGUAUUUAACCAGAAAGCCACGGCUAACUACGUGCCAGCAGCCGCCGUAA
This 524-nucleotide ribosomal RNA is filed under the name uncultured bacterium. Its description in RNAcentral is "partial 16S ribosomal RNA". It matches the Rfam family "Bacterial small subunit ribosomal RNA", at positions 28 to 523 of the family's 1533-position model. The record is from RNAcentral.